This 499-nucleotide ribosomal RNA is filed under the name uncultured bacterium. RNAcentral describes it as "bacterial SSU rRNA". It matches the Rfam family "Bacterial small subunit ribosomal RNA", at positions 1 to 525 of the family's 1533-position model. The record is from RNAcentral.
AGCACUGUAGAGAGUUUGAUCAUGGCUCAGGAUGAAUGCUGGCGGCGUGCCUAACACAUGCAAGUCGAGCGGUAACAGGAGUAGUUUACUACUUGCUGACGAGCGGCGGACGGCUGAGUAACGCGUGGGAACGUGCCCCAAAGUGAGGAAUAACUGCCCGAAAGGGUGGCUAAUGCCGCAUAUGAUCUUCGGAUUAAAGGAUUUAUCCGCUUUGGGAGCGGCCCGCGUUAGAUUAGGUAGUUGGUAGGGUAAUGGCCUACCAAGCCUACGAUCUAUAGCUGGUCUGAGAGGAUGAUCAGCCAGACUGGAACUGAGACACGGUCCAGACUCCUACGGGAGGCAGCAGUGAGGAAUCUUCCACAAUGGGCGAAAGCCUGAUGGAGCAACGCCGCGUGCAGGAUGAAGGCCCUAGGGUCGUAAACUGCUUUUAUAAGUGAAGAAUAUGACGGUAACUUAUGAAUAAGCACCGGCUAACUACGUGCCAGCAGCCGCGGUAAUA